CAUCAGCUUAUUUUCACCUGUAUCUCAUACCACCAUGUGGAUGAAUCUCAAAUACAUCACAAAAUGAAAGAUGUCAGACUCAAAAGGAUACAUACAUAUGUACAUACAGAUACCCAUAUAUUUCUGUAACACCGUGGAAAAGGCAAAACUAUAGAGACCAGUAACAGAUCAAGUUAGUGACUGCAAGAGGCUGGAAGUAGGGAGACUGCCUAAAAUGGGAUAGGAAGGAAUGCUGGGGAGUGAAGGAAAUGUUCUCUGUCUUGACUGUGGUGUUGAUUACAUAAUUGUCAUUUGUCAAAACUCUCAGAAUUCUACACUAAAAAGGGUGAUUAUCCACACCUCAAUAAGUCUGACUUUAAAAAUAUCUCAGUACUAUAAUAUCAUAAUACAUAUAAAAGAGAAAUAAUUGGAAUUGACCAAAAAAAAAUAACAUGUUUCCCUCUGUGAGGUUUGGGCACAGUCAUGCAGAUGUUGGUCAGAUGCUGUGUCCAUUUAUAAAUAGUAAUGAUAUUAACAACAACAGGAUACCCUAAUUGGUAACCACUAGCCCUGCUCCCUUAUUCAGCCCUGAUUAAGUCACUUCAGUCUCAGUAAUUCCAUUUUACAGGUGAGGCAAUUGAGGCUCAGGGGGAAGGUUUGCUGGACUGGCCCAGAAUCCUCAGCAGAUCAGUGUUGGCACCAGGAUUUGAAUCCACAUCCACAGCCUACUCUAUUCUGGUUGCAUCAUGGGAAUCCCAGCUGGUGGUCUCCUGGGCCCCUCAGAUCCUCCCCAGCCCACUCUGGGUCACUAAUUCCCCAGAGGGGCCUAUGAGGCUAGGACCUCAUCCUCAUCCCUUCUCUCUCUUCCAGGUUUCUUGUCCAUGUAAACAGUGGGGAUGUGGAGAAGCGAUGCUGGAGAACUUGGCAGUAGCCACACAGGGGCCUCAUGAAGCAAUAUGGGCAAUGGGGAACCAGCAUUAUGUUAGUGGAGACCAAUGGGGAAAAGCAAACUACCAGUAUUUAAUGGAAGGUUUAAUGGAAGGUUCACAGACACUCUUAAUAGGUGAAAGACUGAAGAGAUGUUUACAAUGAUAGACCAGCUAAUAACAUCUACAUUCAACAAUCAAUUUUAACAUCACAAAAAGAGAGAUAACCAAAUAUGUGCAUCCUGACAUUAUAUAGUAAUUGAUUUCAUUAUACCAUCUAUUAAGUAUUCUUAACAAAGAAAAAGAAAAAUCCAACCUGAAUCUCAUUCAGCCUCUAAAUCUAACAAAUCAUUCACAGGUAAAGUGAAAGUGAGAGAAACAUAUUGAACAAUAUUAAGACUGAAACGUAAGCUAAUCCAGAAGGCAGAAAAUGACCCCUUUCUUCAAAAAAUAAAUUAUAAGGGCACCUGGGUGGCUCAGGCAGUUAAGUGCCCAACUCUUGAUUUUGGCUCAGGUCAUGAUCUUGCAGUUCGUGGGCUUGAACCCUGCAUCAGGCUGUGCGCUGACAGUACAAAGCCUGCUUGGGAUUCUCUAUCUCUCUCU
Molecule: long non-coding RNA, 1508 nt
Organism: Neofelis nebulosa (Clouded leopard)
Lineage: Eukaryota; Metazoa; Chordata; Mammalia; Carnivora; Felidae
Exons: 2
Source: RefSeq, a predicted model, not a curated record